Molecule: transfer RNA, 74 nt
Filed under: Thalassospira xiamenensis
Lineage: Bacteria; Pseudomonadati; Pseudomonadota; Alphaproteobacteria; Rhodospirillales; Thalassospiraceae
Description: tRNA_Val_TAC
Rfam family: tRNA
About the family: Transfer RNA (tRNA) molecules are approximately 80 nucleotides in length. Their secondary structure includes four short double-helical elements and three loops (D, anti-codon, and T loops).
Source: RNAcentral
GGGUGAGUAGCUCAGUUGGUUAGAGCAUCUCGUUUACACCGAGAGGGUCGGGGGUUCGAGUCCCUCCUCACCUA